This 311-nucleotide long non-coding RNA is filed under the name Homo sapiens (human). RNAcentral's name for it is "non-protein coding lnc-QKI-12:1". Lineage: Eukaryota; Metazoa; Chordata; Mammalia; Primates; Hominidae. The record is from RNAcentral.
GAUUGGGAACUUUAAGUUCUGGAAAAUAAAAGAUUGUUUGGAUCCAAACUCAUAUAAAAAAGGAAAAAAAUGGGGGUGCUCACUAAAACUUCUCACUUUAAGAGAUUUGUAGCAAAGUCAUUCAAGGAGAUAGACUUCCUGCUUAAGCCUAUGUACUCAGACUUCAGCAAGAGUUUCUGCUAAAUGGAGAGAGAAGCAGGACGGCAAGAAAUAAACAUUUUUUCGACCUCAUGGAAACGUGAAGAGUCUAGGAUCAACAUGACUGCUCCACAGUAAUCAGAACCAUAGGUUCCUCCCAUCUCCUCACCCCA